RNAcentral lists this unclassified non-coding RNA (243 nucleotides) under Glomeraceae sp. Its description in RNAcentral is "partial contains 5.8S ribosomal RNA and internal transcribed spacer 2". The stretch from base 1 to 71 matches the Rfam family "5.8S ribosomal RNA", at positions 84 to 154 of the family's 154-position model. The record is from RNAcentral. Lineage: Eukaryota; Fungi; Glomeromycota; Glomeromycetes; Glomerales; Glomeraceae.
GUGAAUCAUCAAAUCUUUGAACGCAGCUUGCACUCCCUGGUAUUCCGGAGAGUAUGCCUGUUUGGGGGUCAGUUUAAAUAAAAAUCGGUGUGGUUGCUGCCUUUCGUGGUGACGCACCGGAUGUCGGUCGUCUUGCCUUCGGUUACGCGACCUAAAAUUUAGCAUGAUUUCUUCGUACGUACUUAAAUGAUUUUACGUACGUUUGCGUUAUCGUAUACUAGGUGCGGUAAUCCUCAUGAUCAG